This 345-nucleotide unclassified non-coding RNA is filed under the name soil metagenome. RNAcentral describes it as "partial contains 5.8S ribosomal RNA, internal transcribed spacer 2, and large subunit ribosomal RNA". The stretch from base 1 to 120 matches the Rfam family "5.8S ribosomal RNA", at positions 35 to 154 of the family's 154-position model. The record is from RNAcentral.
GAUGAAGAACGUAGCGAAAUGCGAUAAGUAAUGUGAAUUGCAGAACUCAGUGAAUCAUCGAAUCUUUGAACGCACAUUGUGCCCCCUGGUAUUCCGGGGGGCAUGCCUGUCCGAGCGUCAUUGCUGCCCUCAAGCACGGCUUGUGUGUUGGGCCUCCGUCCUCCUCCCGGGGGACGGGCCCGAAAGGCAGCGGCGGCACCGCGUCCGGUCCUCGAGCGUAUGGGGCUUCGUCACCCGCUCUUGUAGGCCCGGCCGGCGCUUGCCGACACAUCAAUCUUUUUUCCAGGUUGACCUCGGAUCAGGUAGGGAUACCCGCUGAACUUAAGCAUAUCAAUAAGCGGAGGA